GCAGGGGUAGCCAAGCUUGGAAACGGCGCAGGAUUUAGGAUCCUGUUCUUAGCGAUACAAGGGUUCAAAUCCCUUCCCCUGCA
Molecule: transfer RNA, 83 nt
Filed under: Candidatus Methanoplasma glyptotermitis
Lineage: Archaea; Methanobacteriati; Thermoplasmatota; Thermoplasmata; Methanomassiliicoccales; Methanomassiliicoccaceae
Description: tRNA-Leu
Rfam family: tRNA
About the family: Transfer RNA (tRNA) molecules are approximately 80 nucleotides in length. Their secondary structure includes four short double-helical elements and three loops (D, anti-codon, and T loops). Further hydrogen bonds mediate the characteristic L-shaped molecular structure. tRNAs have two regions of fundamental functional importance: the anti-codon, which is responsible for specific mRNA codon recognition, and the 3' end, to which the tRNAs corresponding amino acid is attached (by aminoacyl-tRNA synthetases). tRNAs cope with the degeneracy of the genetic code in two manners: having more than one tRNA (with a specific anti-codon) for a particular amino acid; and 'wobble' base-pairing, i.e. permitting non-standard base-pairing at the 3rd anti-codon position.
Source: RNAcentral